This is a non-coding RNA of Pelobates cultripes (western spadefoot toad), 311 nucleotides long. Lineage: Eukaryota; Metazoa; Chordata; Amphibia; Anura; Pelobatidae. The record is from the annotation of a GenBank genome assembly.
AGAACCAUGUGCUAGUGGCAAACGGAAAGAAAUGCGAUCAUUGACAAGCUGUACAUCGGUGUCCGAUCUCCGGGGCUCGUUUGGUGUCAUUACAUCUACAGAUUGUUAGAAGGCAGAGACUAGGGUACAAUCAGUGGGAAAAUCUGGAAUUUUAAAUCUGGAACUGAACAUUAAACACACUUGAGCGAAGAAACACUCAUUGAAGUUUUGUCUAAGGUGAAGAACGUGUGGAUGCUAUAAACCUGCAAUAUUAACUCAAACGUUCCAAGAGGAGAACACUUGGUUAGUCUAUCAAAGAAUGACCAUCAGCG